GUUGGUGAGUCGCAUGCUUUUCUGUUCCUCCGGUCUCCAAUCAUGUCGUAAGACGAAAGGUCCAAAUCGACACGGUUGACCGGUUGUAUACGUGGUAUUUGGCGAAUACAGUGACCGCGGGUAUGCAUUGAAUAGCAUAGUCGGUAGAGUUGCGUACGGAGACCAGCUGCGAGUGUCAUUAGUGUUGCGUAUAAAUGAAUCGCGACCGAUUUGUUUUGUAAAUUCACGCGUUUUGAAUUAGUAUUUCGUCAUAUGAAAAGCCCAAAAUUUGACACCACCACCACUUCAAGAAUCACCAAGCAGCCAAAGUGGCUGCCACUAUGAUUCUUCGCACCCUGAGAUGGCUGCACUGGAUUUUUAAUUAUGGAUUCGUAUUACUUGGUGCACGCGAUUUGUUCUUUAUAUACGUAAUAGAUUAGCGUUUCGAAUAAUGAUGGACCUCGCGAUUGCUUUUGAUUACUACUUUUCGCGUUUUCUUUCAGGGUAGUGUUGCGAAUAACUAUGAAUCGCGUUUGCUAUUAGUGUUGCGUCUGAUAAAUCGCGUCCGUUUUGGUACCUUGGUUUGGUAACUUGGUACUUUUAGUUAGGGCUAGAACGAAAAAAGAAGACCAUCUACGGAUUGUUUUGCUAUAUUUGAAGAACAGAGAAUAAUAUACGUUUCUUCUGUUGCAGACAUCAUCAUGGAGUUAAUACAGGGUGGCCAGGGUGUGGUUUUUGUCUUGGCCAGCCAAUUUGGGUCUCUAUAUACAGUAACCUCCACGUGGUGAGACCCGGACCGUCUACAUUAUUUGAAGUAUGUAAUUGCUAACUGCACAUCGCCAGUAAGGGUCAGAUGACAUUAUCAAUUCCAUACCAAGUAAUAUGAGCUACUGGCUGGAAUCUUUCUCAUUUACAAGUAAAUGAAAAUAUGGUAACUUGCAAUUAGAAUCAACGCAUAUUGAUACUAUUAUUAUUAUAAAAGUCUAUAGUAUUAUAUAUAAGACAUAAUGAAUAAUUUUUAUUCAUAUUUUUAUUCAAGCUAUAUAAGUUAGGGAAUGUGCACCCGCAGUUCAAAGGAUUUUUGUCCUUUCAAAAAAUAUAAUUUUUGAAAUGACGGAAAUCUUUCAAAUUGCGUCUGCACUUUCUCUGAUCGGUACAUUACCAACAUGUCGGUAAAUACUGAGGAAGCGCCAUCUACCGGUGGCAGCUUCAAUUAUUUAACGACAAACUUGGGCAUUCUCCGGAUAGAGGCGCUAAUCAAACUUCGAAAAUAUAAAUGUAGCUCUCAGGAGCUGUAGCGAGUUUUUGUAAGCUACAGUACGGGCUUAGCAACCCCGAGGUACCCGAGUUAGAGAGGGGGGCCAGCGGACCCCUACAGAAUGUGUGGAACAAAUGUAUGAAGGAUUGUCGAUGCGAUUUGUAAAUGUACCUUGGGUCAAGAGACCUUGAAAAAUGUAAAAGAAAAGUGUAAAACAGUUCCGUACGGAACUACACUAUAAAUAAAUGAUAAAGAAAGAAUAUAAAUGCAUAUUAAUGCAGCUAACUUGGAGUUAUGAAAGAUACUAGAUUAAACAGAGAAUUAAAAAGCGUAUUUUUUUUUUUUUGUUGCUUGUUGGACCAAUUAGAAUAUAUAUAUCACAGAAAAUAAGAUAAGUAUAGGAAAUAGGAACCAGAUAGAAUGUAAGGAAAAUGAAAAGCAAGGACCAGAAGGUUUCUAAAGAUAGAGAGAAAUGAGAUAAGGGCGUACUUUGUAUAUAGUAGUUUUUAUUCGAAGAAACAAAAUAUGUUAAGUUCUAGGGAUGUAACAUAAGUGUAAGCAGCCUCAUCCUGUACAAUAGUAUUUAACAAGAGUUAUAUAUUAGAGUAGUUUUAAGAGAAUAGUUGUAAUACCUCGAAAAUGCGCUAAAUCGACAAUAGGAUCGAUUAAAUUAAAAAAUGUAUUGUUAAAAACACUAGUGUAAGACAUUGAAUGUAAUCUAGGUUAUAAGAAUACGUAAACAUAUUUUUGGGUCAAGAGACCAUAUUUUAUUGUACAAGAAAAGUGAACUUUUCACAGGGACUUUAUUUUAUACUAUGUAGAGAUGAACUAGUAUUUACAAAAAUGUGUAAUUAUGUUUAUAUGGGAUACAAUUCGAUUAGUCAAUAUUCA
Long non-coding RNA from Hylaeus volcanicus, 2128 nucleotides. RefSeq lists it as uncharacterized. The transcript is spliced from 3 exons. The record is from RefSeq and is a predicted model, not a curated record. Lineage: Eukaryota; Metazoa; Arthropoda; Insecta; Hymenoptera; Colletidae.